This 407-nucleotide ribosomal RNA is filed under the name uncultured bacterium. RNAcentral's name for it is "partial 16S ribosomal RNA". It matches the Rfam family "Bacterial small subunit ribosomal RNA", at positions 30 to 526 of the family's 1533-position model. The record is from RNAcentral.
AUUGAACGCUGGCGGCAGGCCUAACACAUGCAAGUCGAACGGAGUGGCGGACGGGUGAGUAAUGUCUGGGAAACUGCCUGAUGGAGGGGGAUAACUACUGGAAACGGUAGCUAAUAACGCAUACUCUCAGAUGAGCCUAGGUCGGAUUAGCUAGUUGGUGGGGUAAAGGCCUACCAAGGCGACGAUCCGGAACUGGUCUGAGAGGAGGAUCAGUCACACGGGAACUGAGACACGGUCCAUACUCCUACGGGAGGCAGCAGUGGGGAAUAUUGGACAACGGGCGAAAGCCUGAUCCAGCCAUGCCGCGUGUGUGAAGAAGGUCUUCGGAUUGUAAAGCACUUUAAGUUGGGAGGCGUUACCAACAGAAUAAGCACCGGCUAACUCCGUGCCAGCAGCCGCGGUAAUAC